UCUAAAUCCCACAGGUGAUUC
Molecule: non-coding RNA, 21 nt
Filed under: Caenorhabditis elegans
Lineage: Eukaryota; Metazoa; Nematoda; Chromadorea; Rhabditida; Rhabditidae
Source: RNAcentral